RNAcentral lists this transfer RNA (74 nucleotides) under Alphaproteobacteria bacterium. Its description in RNAcentral is "tRNA-Arg". It matches the Rfam family "tRNA". Rfam says of the family: Transfer RNA (tRNA) molecules are approximately 80 nucleotides in length. The record is from RNAcentral. Lineage: Bacteria; Pseudomonadati; Pseudomonadota; Alphaproteobacteria.
GGGCACGUAACUCAGUUGGAUAGAGUAUCAGAUUCCUAAUCUGAAAGUCGGGGGUUCGAAUCCCUCCGUGCCCA